Molecule: ribosomal RNA, 146 nt
Filed under: uncultured bacterium
Lineage: Bacteria
Description: partial 16S ribosomal RNA
Rfam family: Bacterial small subunit ribosomal RNA
Source: RNAcentral
GAUGGAGCACGCCGCGUGUGUGAUGAAGGGCUUCGGCUCGUAAAACACUGUUGUCAGAGAAGAAUGACAUUGAGAGUAACUGUUCAAUGUGUGACGGUAUCUUACCAGAAAGGAACGGCUAAAUACGUGCCAGCAGCCGCGGUAAU